RNAcentral lists this ribosomal RNA (445 nucleotides) under uncultured bacterium. RNAcentral's name for it is "partial 16S ribosomal RNA". It matches the Rfam family "Bacterial small subunit ribosomal RNA", at positions 354 to 796 of the family's 1533-position model. The record is from RNAcentral.
GUGAGGAAUAUUGGUCAAUGGGCGAGAGCCUGAACCAGCCAAGUCGCGUGAAGGAUGAAGGUUUUAUGAAUUGUAAACUUCUUUUGCAGGGGAAUAAAGUACGGUACGUGUACCGUUUUGUAUGUACUCUGCGAAUAAGGAUCGGCUAACUCCGUGCCAGCAGCUGCGGUAAUACGGAGGAUCCAAGCGUUAUCCGGAUUUAUUGGGUUUAAAGGGUGCGCAGGCGGGUUGAUAAGUCAGCGGUGAAAGUUUGCAGCUUAACUGUAAAAUUGCCGUUGAAACUGUCGAUCUUGAUUGCAAAUGAGGUAAGCGGAAUGUGUUGUGUAGCGGUGAAAUGUUUAGAUAUAACACAGAACACCGAUUGCGAAGGCAGCUUACUGGGAUGCAACUGACGCUCAUGCACGAAAGCGUGGGGAUCAAACAGGAUUAGAUACCCUAGUAGUCC